GAUGAACGCUGGCAGCGUGCCUAAUACAUGCAAGUCGAGCGAACGGACGAGAAGCUUGCUUCUCUGAUGUUAGCGGCGGACGGGUGAGUAACACGUGGAUAACCUACCUAUAAGACUGGGAUAACUUCGGGAAACCGUAGCUAAUACCGGAUAAUAUUUUGAACCGCAUGGUUCAAAAGUGAAAGACGGUCUUGCUGUCACUUAUAGAUGGAUCCGCGCUGCAUUAGCUAGUUGGUAAGGUAACGGCUUACCAAGGCAACGAUGCAUAGCCGACCUGAGAGGGUGAUCGGCCACACUGAAACUGAGACACGGUCCAGACUCCUACGGGAGGCAGCAGUAGGGAAUCUUCCGCAAUGGGCGAAAGCCUGACGGAGCAACGCCGCGUGAGUGAUGAAGGUCUUCGGAUCGUAAAACUCUGUUAUUAGGGAAGAACAUAUGUGUAAGUAACUGUGCACAUCUUGACGGUACCUAAUCAGAAAGCCACGGCUAACUACGUG
This 497-nucleotide ribosomal RNA is filed under the name uncultured bacterium. RNAcentral describes it as "partial 16S ribosomal RNA". It matches the Rfam family "Bacterial small subunit ribosomal RNA", at positions 28 to 507 of the family's 1533-position model. The record is from RNAcentral.